UACGUAGGCGGAAAAUUAAGUCAGUGGUGAAAUCCUGCAGCUUAACUGUAGAACUGUUAUUGAUACUGGUUUUCUUGAAUAUAGUUGAGGUAGGCGGAAUGUGUAAUGUAGCGGUGAAAUGCUUAGAUAUUACACAGAACACCGAUUGCGAAGGCAGCUUACUAAGCUAUGAUUGACGCUGAGGUACGAAAGCGUGGGGAGCGAACAGGAUUAGAUACCCUGGUAGUCCC
This 230-nucleotide ribosomal RNA is filed under the name uncultured bacterium. Its description in RNAcentral is "partial 16S ribosomal RNA". It matches the Rfam family "Bacterial small subunit ribosomal RNA", at positions 568 to 797 of the family's 1533-position model. The record is from RNAcentral.